RNAcentral lists this ribosomal RNA (222 nucleotides) under Listeria monocytogenes. Its description in RNAcentral is "partial 16S ribosomal RNA". It matches the Rfam family "Bacterial small subunit ribosomal RNA", at positions 1321 to 1533 of the family's 1533-position model. The record is from RNAcentral. Lineage: Bacteria; Bacillati; Bacillota; Bacilli; Caryophanales; Listeriaceae.
UGAAGCCGGAAUCGCUAGUAAUCGUGGAUCAGCAUGCCACGGUGAAUACGUUCCCGGGCCUUGUACACACCGCCCGUCACACCACGAGAGUUUGUAACACCCGAAGUCGGUAGGGUAACCUUUAUGGGGCCAGCCGCCGAAGGUGGGACAGAUAAUUGGGGUGAAGUCGUAACAAGGUAGCCGUAUCGGAAGGUGCGGCUGGAUCACCUCCUUUCUAAGGAA